UACGUAGGGGGCUAGCGUUGUCCGGAAUCAUUGGGCGUAAAGCGCGUGUAGGCGGUCCGGUAAGUCCGCUGUGAAAGUCGGGGGCUCAACCCUCGGAUGCCGGUGGAUACUGUCGGGCUUGAGUACGGAAGAGGCGAGUGGAAUUCCUGGUGUAGCGGUGAAAUGCGCAGAUAUCAGGAGGAACACCAAUUGCGAAGGCAGCUCGCUGGGACGUUACUGACGCUGAGACGCGAAAGCGCGGGGAGCAAACAGG
RNAcentral lists this ribosomal RNA (253 nucleotides) under uncultured bacterium. RNAcentral's name for it is "partial 16S ribosomal RNA". It matches the Rfam family "Bacterial small subunit ribosomal RNA", at positions 524 to 776 of the family's 1533-position model. The record is from RNAcentral.